AGUGAACGCUGGCGGUUGGCCUAACACAUGCAAGUCGAACGGCAGCACUGUAAGAGCUUGCUCUUACGGGUGGCGAGUGGCGGACGGGUGAGGAAUACAUCGGAAUCUACUUUUUCGUGGGGGAUAACGUAGGGAAACUUACGCUAAUACCGCAUACGACCUACGGGUGAAAGCAGGGGAUCUUCGGACCUUGCGCGAUUGAAUGAGCCGAUGUCGGAUUAGCUAGUUGGCGGGGUAAAGGCCCACCAAGGCGACGAUCCGUAGCUGGUCUGAGAGGAUGAUCAGCCACACUGGAACUGAGACACGGUCCAGACUCCUACGGGAGGCAGCAGUGGGGAAUAUUGGACAAUGGGCGCAAGCCUGAUCCAGCCAUACCGCGUGGGUGAAGAAGGCCUUCGGGUUGUAAAGCCCUUUUGUUGGGAAAGAAAAGCAGCAGGUUAAUACCCCGCUGUUCUGACGGUACCCAAAGAAUAAGCACCGGCUAACUUCGUG
RNAcentral lists this ribosomal RNA (492 nucleotides) under uncultured bacterium. RNAcentral's name for it is "partial 16S ribosomal RNA". It matches the Rfam family "Bacterial small subunit ribosomal RNA", at positions 29 to 507 of the family's 1533-position model. The record is from RNAcentral.